CAUGACAGAAAGCAGCCAUGUGGAGAGAGUAUCACUUCCUCGUUAACAAAUCUUUCAGCCUCUGCCUUACACCUGCACAAACACACACCGAUGCCUACAGCUACGGAGCUCCAAGAAGCAGAAAGGAUUUCUAGAGAGGAAAUUUGAUUUAGGAUUUACUGGGUCAAACAUCUCCGCUGGAUAAAACUCAAGCGUUGCUCCGUAUGCCGCACUAAAUGAACUGCUUCAUCUCAUUCAAGCUGACAGAAUCCAGAUGCAGCAGCAGCUCCCUGAUAUCUUUUGCUUUGUUUCCUUGGCUUCACCGGUGGAUCCUUCUCGCUGGUUUUAUUUCCUUAAGAGAAUAGCUCUGCUGUCAGACACUGUGGUUUCCAGUCAUUUAUGUUGGAGAAUAAGCAGCGAGGAGGCAGAGAGUCGACACCAGCUGAAGCUCAGCGAUGAGCUCCGGGUCAAACGUCGAGGUCACGUGAUUGGCCCAGAGUCAGGAAGUGAUGAGGCCGAUAUGACAGCAGGUGGAGAGUAAAAACAGACGUCCGGUCCAGCCAAUAAAUCCCAGUCACACACCAACCAACUGUCCAGCCAGUCCACAAGCCCUGAUUAACAUCAGAAUCAAUCUGCCCCCCGGUGGCCAGAAGACAGACACCUGAGGCUUUAAAUGAACCAGCAACAGCACUUUAAAGAAACUCCUGAGGAUCUACGCUACUGUACACUAUAAAAUAAACAUUUGGUUCAGUCA
Amphiprion ocellaris (clown anemonefish) is the source of this 733-nucleotide long non-coding RNA. RefSeq lists it as uncharacterized. The transcript is spliced from 4 exons. The record is from RefSeq and is a predicted model, not a curated record. Lineage: Eukaryota; Metazoa; Chordata; Actinopteri; Pomacentridae.